UUUUUUUUUAUAUAUAUACAUACACGCAAGUGUACACGUAAAACAUUGAAUACAUUAUCGAAAUGAACGACUGCUUACCUUCAUGCGUUAUACAUUAUACCGUAUACGCGUAUUCCCGACUAUAUUAUUAUACUUACAACUCCGUCGUAAAGAGUUUGUGUUUAUAAUUUUUUUUUUUUUUUUCGUAUUUCCAAGAGUGUAAAAUAUCGUACGCGAACGCUUAUCGCGUAAUGAAUAUAUUACGGUAUUAUUAUUGUACGCGAAAACACAUAAAU
Molecule: non-coding RNA, 275 nt
Organism: Cinara cedri
Lineage: Eukaryota; Metazoa; Arthropoda; Insecta; Hemiptera; Aphididae
Source: the annotation of a GenBank genome assembly